Small nucleolar RNA from Hibiscus syriacus, 107 nucleotides. NCBI's taxonomy places the organism in Eukaryota, Viridiplantae, Streptophyta, Magnoliopsida, Malvales, Malvaceae. The record is from RefSeq and is a predicted model, not a curated record.
AACCCAUGCAUCGGACACUUCCGUAGCAAAUCCUUGAAUCUCUCCCAUGCUUUAUACAAGUUUUCUUCCUCAAGUUGCUUGAAGGAUGUGAAGUCAUUUUUCAGCUC